This 81-nucleotide transfer RNA is filed under the name Hyphomicrobiales bacterium. RNAcentral describes it as "tRNA-Leu". It matches the Rfam family "tRNA". From Rfam's summary of the family: Transfer RNA (tRNA) molecules are approximately 80 nucleotides in length. Lineage: Bacteria; Pseudomonadati; Pseudomonadota; Alphaproteobacteria; Hyphomicrobiales. The record is from RNAcentral. RNAcentral also lists the same sequence under 1 other name.
GUGGCGGAAUUGGUAGACGCGCAGCGUUGAGGUCGCUGUGGGGUAACUCCCGUGGAAGUUCGAGUCUUCUCGGCCGCACCA